UUAGGGGCACCUUAGGGACGCCAUUCGGGUCUGUUGGGUGUAUUGUUCAAGCGUGAAUAAGCAAAUCUUGCCCAGCAGUGUUUACCCGAGACAUAUUCAUUGGGCGGACAGAUCCGGCGGGUUUUAUGUACAUUUCUUCGAAAGCCAUAACGUGACCAGUGGUUUUACUGUUUUUAUAACAGCACAUUUUUACAGUGUGUCACGGAAGCUUCUGUGGAUAAGGAGAUGACAGCACAUGAAUCUAUUUUUGGACUGAGCGUCUGUCACGGGACGGAUGUUCAAGCACUCAGGUUCUGAAAACAGGUUCAGGUGCCAAUUUCUGGUGUAGGGUGACAUUCAAUGGCAUUUCUCGUCAAACUUCAUUAUUAAAGUUCCACUCUUUCUUUUUA
This is a long non-coding RNA of Carassius carassius (crucian carp), 389 nucleotides long. RefSeq lists it as uncharacterized. The transcript has 2 exons. The record is from RefSeq and is a predicted model, not a curated record. NCBI's taxonomy places the organism in Eukaryota, Metazoa, Chordata, Actinopteri, Cypriniformes, Cyprinidae.